UUAAGACCAAAAAGCGAAUUUUUGUUUUCAUAAAUGUUUACGAUAUAGCCAAUUUUGACUGUGGAUCAGCUCUAGUAGUGACUGACAACCCUCGUCAAUGAUACCUCGAAACCAAUGUCAUCACACAUGCGACUGCAAGUCAAUAUGUCAUAAAAAUAUUGUCAUUGAUAGGAGCAAUAAACAAGUGCCCCAAUUUCAAUUUCAACACUAGAAAAUUCAUAUUUUGGGCUUGUUUAUGGCCGAUAACCGCGCGAACAAUGUACCCCACGGACUUUAAUAUGGGCAAAUAUGUCAGCACAAAAGGGCUGCGAGUUCAGGAUCUUGUGUCGGAGGACCGCUCGAACCCUCUAUCCCACGGACUUCAAUAUUCAGUAUGAGAUGUACACCAUUGAGAGAAAUGCAGAGAAGACAGCUUCAGCGGGCAGAGUGCUGUACGACAUGGGAGUGAAAGUUCUUAUCUCUGUACUCAUGCACACACUCACAGUACUGUUGAUGACUGAUAUAAAUGCUGUUGUUUGUAUUGUGUCCUUCAGGUUGAUAAAUUUCCCUGAUCUGCCUGUGGUGUGGCGGUAGAUCACUGUCAUCACAGCUGCCCUGCGUAGCGAAUGUCAGAACAAACAUGCUCAGUUUCUAUGGGUGUUGUGUGUGUUUAUUGUAGGUCUGUUUGAAACCCUGCCUGGCCCAGUGCAGUGUGAGAUGCUGCUGAAGGCCACAGAGCAGUCUUUCAACACCCUGGAGAAAGCUGAGAUGCUCCUGCUACUGCUCAGGUGCUUCCCAGAGUCUGUGGUCCAACACGGGGUCAACCUGGGAGAGUCCCGGUUGAAGGUGGAGACGGCUGAAAAACUGGAGACGCCUGUCAACUGUUUCAGGAAGCUGUUUGGUUUCAGGAAGCUGUUUGGCACCACACAGUGACGCGUGGCAUCACUAAGGGGGUGAAGGAGGACUUCCGUCUGGCUAUGGAGAGACAGGUGUUACGCAGCGCGGAGAACCUGUAUACUGUCCUCCACCGCUUCUGUAUCAAUGAGAAGAUCAUCAUCAUCAUCCAGUCCCUGCCCUGACCUCUGACCCCUUCACCUUUGACCCUUGGACAUCUGACAUUUGAACCAGUUAAGACCCGGAGCCCUGGCUCAUGGUUCUAAUGUCCACAGUGAAACCCUGGUCGCUGUGCCUCUUGUGUGCCCAGAAGACCAUCGUCGUCUUCCAUCAGACCUGACAAUUGAACUCCGGACCCCUCAACUAUAACCAAAUAACACACAUAAUUAGAAAGAGAUUCCUUGUUUCCCUCUUUCUAGGCUUUAUCUGUGGUGCUAAUGUUACUCACGAGCAUAAAAUCUUCUGUACUUGUACUACUUGCCUUAAUAUUAGAUAAUGACUUUCAAAGGAUGUAUUCGGUAACUUGAGAAGGUUCUGUACUUGGGGAGGAUUCUGUUUCUGGGGAUACUUAACAGGGAUUGGUCUACUGUGUCUGUGGUAUUUGCUCUCUCUCUGCCAUUGGCUAUCUUGAUACCUUUUGUUUAUUUUUCCUUUUUGGAUCAUUUUGUGUUGCCUGUCUCCCCAAACUCUUUACUCCGGCCAAAUGCUAUGCCACGCCCACGGACAUUAGUUUCUUCUCCGCAAUGAGACUGGUUUGAGUACCUCCACGAUGAUUUCUAGAAUGGAUUGGUCCCAAAAACCAAUGGGUUGGGCCAGAGCCAGAACACACGUGGGUAAAACAGUGUUUGAAAAUUCGUCAUUGGCUUUGAUACU
Molecule: long non-coding RNA, 1746 nt
Organism: Coregonus clupeaformis (lake whitefish)
Lineage: Eukaryota; Metazoa; Chordata; Actinopteri; Salmoniformes; Salmonidae
Exons: 5
Source: RefSeq, a predicted model, not a curated record